Molecule: ribosomal RNA, 396 nt
Filed under: uncultured bacterium
Lineage: Bacteria
Description: bacterial SSU rRNA
Rfam family: Bacterial small subunit ribosomal RNA
Source: RNAcentral
ACUAAAUAGAUACCCCGGUAGUCCACGCCGUAAACGAUGGAUACUAGCUGUUCGGAGCAAUCUGAGUGGCUAAAGCGAAAAAGUGAUAAGUAUCCCACCUGGGGAGUACGCACGCAAGUGUGAAACUCAAAGGAAUUGACGGGGGCCCGCACAAGCGGUGGAGCAUGUGGUUUAAUUCGAUGAUACGCGAGGAACCUUACCAGGGCUUAAAUGUAGAUUGACAGGACUGGAAACAGUUUUUCUUCGGACAAUUUACAAGGUGCUGCAUGGUUGUCGUCAGCUCGUGCCGUGAGGUGUCAGGUUAAGUCCUAUAACGAGCGCAACCCCUGUCGUUAGUUGCCAGCGAGUCAUGUCGGGAACUCUAACGAGACUGCCAGUGUAAACUGUGAGGAAGGU